RNAcentral lists this ribosomal RNA (117 nucleotides) under Streptomyces tardus. The record is from RNAcentral. Lineage: Bacteria; Bacillati; Actinomycetota; Actinomycetes; Kitasatosporales; Streptomycetaceae. RNAcentral also lists the same sequence under 1 other name.
UUCGGUGGUCAUAGCGAUGGGGAAACGCCCGGUUACAUUUCGAACCCGGAAGCUAAGCCUGUCCGCGCCGAUGGUACUGCAUGCGGGAGCGUGUGGGAGAGUAGGUCGCCGCCGAAC